CCGGCCAUGAGCAGCAGUCGCACUCGGACGACUGCUAUGCCCCAUAUGCCGGGAGGUGAAAUGAUAUAUCGCCUGAGGAUGAACUCCCGUCUGAUUAGCUAUCUGGUUGGGUAAUGGCUGACCAAGGCGACUAUCACUAUCUGGCCUAACAGGAUGAUCUGCCACACUGGGACUGAGACACGGCCCUUACUCCUACAGUAGGCAGCACUGCGGAAUUUUCCGCAAUGGGCGAAAUCCUGACGGACCAACGCCUCCUGAGGGAGGAAGGCCUUGCUGUUGUAAACCUCUUUUCUCUGGGAAGAAGAACUGACGGUACCAUAGGAAUAACCCUCGGCUAACUCCGUGCCAGCAGCCGCCUUCCUACGGAGGAGGCAAGCGUUAUCCGGAAUUAUUGGGCGUAAAGCGUCCGCAGGCGGCUUAUUAAGUCUGUUGUCAAAGGUCACAGCUCAACUGCGGAUCGGCAAUGGAAACUGGUGAGCUAGAGUGUGGUACGGGUACAGGGAAUUCCCGGAGUAGCGGUGAAAUGCGUAGAUAUCGGAAAGAACACCAGUGGCGAAGGCGCUCUACUGGGCCACAACUGACGCUGAGGGACGAAAGCUACGGGAGCGAAAGGGAUUAGAUACCCCC
Molecule: ribosomal RNA, 627 nt
Filed under: Nodosilinea sp. WUC438
Lineage: Bacteria; Bacillati; Cyanobacteriota; Cyanophyceae; Nodosilineales; Nodosilineaceae
Description: bacterial SSU rRNA
Rfam family: Bacterial small subunit ribosomal RNA
Source: RNAcentral